GCGCUGCUUACCAUGCAGUCGAGCGGGAACUUCGGUUUCCAGCGGCGGACGGGUGAGUAACACGUGGGCAACCUGCCUCACAAUGAGGGAUAGCCUUCCGAAAGGAAGAUUAAUACCUCAUAACACAAGAAAAACGCAUGUUUUUCUUGCCAAAGAAUUUCGUUGUGAGAUGGGCCCGCGGCGCAUUAGCUUGUUGGUGAGGUAACGGCUCACCAAGGCUGCGAUGCGUAGCCGACCUGAGAGGGUGAUCGGCCACAUUGGAACUGAGACACGGUCCAGACUCCUACGGGAGGCAGCAGUGGGGAAUAUUGCACAAUGGAGGAAACUCUGAUGCAGCAACGCCGCGUGAGUGAUGAAGGUCUUCGGAUUGUAAAGCUCUGUCUUCUGGGACGAUAAUGACGGUACCA
This 407-nucleotide ribosomal RNA is filed under the name mesophilic bacterium enrichment culture clone OTU_4. Its description in RNAcentral is "bacterial SSU rRNA". It matches the Rfam family "Bacterial small subunit ribosomal RNA", at positions 42 to 480 of the family's 1533-position model. The record is from RNAcentral.